Molecule: ribosomal RNA, 341 nt
Filed under: Escherichia coli
Lineage: Bacteria; Pseudomonadati; Pseudomonadota; Gammaproteobacteria; Enterobacterales; Enterobacteriaceae
Description: bacterial LSU rRNA
Rfam family: Bacterial large subunit ribosomal RNA
Source: RNAcentral
CACACUAUCAUUAACUGAAUCCAUAGGUUAAUGAGGCGAACCGGGGGAACUGAAACAUCUAAGUACCCCGAGGAAAAGAAAUCAACCGAGAUUCCCCCAGUAGCGGCGAGCGAACGGGGAGCAGCCCAGAGCCUGAAUCAGUGUGUGUGUUAGUGGAAGCGUCUGGAAAGGCGCGCGAUACAGGGUGACAGCCCCGUACACAAAAAUGCACAUACUGUGAGCUCGAUGAGUAGGGCGGGACACGUGGUAUCCUGUCUGAAUAUGGGGGGACCAUCCUCCAAGGCUAAAUACUCCUGACUGACCGAUAGUGAACCAGUACCGUGAGGGAAAGGCGAAAAGAA